RNAcentral lists this ribosomal RNA (198 nucleotides) under uncultured bacterium. RNAcentral describes it as "partial 16S ribosomal RNA". It matches the Rfam family "Bacterial small subunit ribosomal RNA", at positions 328 to 539 of the family's 1533-position model. The record is from RNAcentral.
ACGCUCGACACCUACGUGAGGCAGCAGUGGGGAAUAUUGCACAAUGGGGGAAACCCUGAUGCAGCGACGCCGCGUGAGCGAAGAAGUAUUUCGGUAUGUAAAGCUCUAUCAGCAGGGAAGAAAAUGACGGUACCUGACUAAGAAGCCCCGGCUAACUACGCGCCAGCAGCCGCGGUAAUCUGAGCGGGCUGGCAAGGC